CUCGUAGGCGGCCAACUAAGUCAGACGUGAAAUCCCUCGGCUUAACCGGGGAACUGCAUCUGAUACUGGAUGGCUUGAGAUCGGGAGAGGGAUGCGGAAUUCCAGGUGUAGCGGUGAAAUGCGUAGAUAUCUGGAGGAACACCGGUGGCGAAGGCGGCAUCCUGGACCGACACUGACGCUGAGGAGCGAAAGCCAGGGAGCGAAACG
This 207-nucleotide ribosomal RNA is filed under the name uncultured bacterium. RNAcentral's name for it is "partial 16S ribosomal RNA". It matches the Rfam family "Bacterial small subunit ribosomal RNA", at positions 568 to 774 of the family's 1533-position model. The record is from RNAcentral.